This 344-nucleotide unclassified non-coding RNA is filed under the name soil metagenome. RNAcentral's name for it is "partial contains 5.8S ribosomal RNA, internal transcribed spacer 2, and large subunit ribosomal RNA". The stretch from base 1 to 120 matches the Rfam family "5.8S ribosomal RNA", at positions 35 to 154 of the family's 154-position model. The record is from RNAcentral.
GAUGAAGAACGUAGUGAAAUGCGAUACGUAAUGUGAAUUGCAGAAUUCAGUGAAUCAUCGAGUCUUUGAACGCACAUUGCGCCCCCUGGUAUUCCGGGGGGCAUGCCUGUCCGAGCGUCAUUGCUGCCCUCAAGCACGGCUUGUGUGUUGGGCCUCCGUCCUCCUCCCGGGGGACGGGCCCGAAAGGCAGCGGCGGCACCGCGUCCGGUCCUCGAGCGUAUGGGGCUUCGUCACCCGCUCUUGUAGGCCCGGCCGGCGCUUGCCGACACAUCAAUCUUUUUUCCAGGUUGACCUCGGAUCAGGUAGGGAUACCCGCUGAACUUAAGCAUAUCAAUAAGCGGAGG